CGGCUUAAUUUGACUCAACACGGGGAAACUUACCAGGUCCAGACAUAGUAAGGAUUGACAGACUGAGAGCUCUUUCUUUUUUUUUUUUUUUUUUUUUUUUUUUGAUUCUUAGUUGGUGGAGCGAUUUGUCUGGUUAAUUCCGUUAACGAACACGUAGAAGGGGGCAAAAGAAAGGCUAUGGGGAAGGCUUGGCACCUGUACCUUUUGGACCGAGUCAAAGCCAAAUUGUACAGGUGCCUUACACAAUUAGCCAAUUCCGCAUCUAUCAAAAAUAUGUACAAAAGUGUUUAGCAAAAACACUUCAAAAGAAUAAGGGACGGUCAAUACG
This 328-nucleotide non-coding RNA is filed under the name Erythranthe guttata (spotted monkey flower). RNAcentral's name for it is "Mimulus guttatus (spotted monkey flower) Eukaryotic small subunit ribosomal RNA". It matches the Rfam family "Eukaryotic small subunit ribosomal RNA", at positions 1186 to 1436 of the family's 1831-position model. The record is from Rfam by way of RNAcentral. Lineage: Eukaryota; Viridiplantae; Streptophyta; Magnoliopsida; Lamiales; Phrymaceae.